ACGAAAGUCUGAUGGAGCAAUACCACGUGAACGAUGAAGGUCUUCUGAUUGUAAAGUUCUUUUAUUUAGGAAAAAAAGCGUGCUAGGAAAUGAGCGCGCCUUGAUGGUACUAAUUGAAUAAGUGACAGCUAACUAUGUGCCAGCAGCUGCGGUAAAACAUAGGUCACGAGCAUUAUCCGGAUUUAUUGGGCGU
This 193-nucleotide ribosomal RNA is filed under the name Mycoplasma wenyonii. RNAcentral describes it as "partial 16S ribosomal RNA". It matches the Rfam family "Bacterial small subunit ribosomal RNA", at positions 375 to 561 of the family's 1533-position model. Lineage: Bacteria; Bacillati; Mycoplasmatota; Mollicutes; Mycoplasmatales; Mycoplasmataceae. The record is from RNAcentral.